AUGUCAGGGCAUGGAUGCCACCUUGUCGUGGUGACAUCCCAAGGUUGCCUUGGUGCACGGAAGGCCUCAGGGUCAGAGCAGCUCUUGGGCUUGCUCAGUGCAGGAGCAUCCUCCUGCUUGAGGCGUUUGUCAGUGGGCAGCUGCACACUGACAGGAGCCUUGUUUGUUUUUGUGGUGGAGCAGAGUGUGCAAACUGGCACAGCAGUGCUACAGUGAUGGAGCAGCUCGCUGUUGCAGUUUGCACCAUUUAUGGCAUUGGCUAUGCCGGCUAUUACCUCACCAACCUGGCACGUCAUCUGAGCCGUGUGUUCAGAGGUGCCGAUCCUGAGAGCCCAGAAGCAAGAGCAGACUCUGCUGUGGCUCCCUCUGCUCCUGGA
Molecule: non-coding RNA, 377 nt
Organism: Cyanistes caeruleus (blue tit)
Lineage: Eukaryota; Metazoa; Chordata; Aves; Passeriformes; Paridae
Source: RefSeq, a predicted model, not a curated record